GCCUUCGUGGUGUAGUGGCUGCAUGCUCGACGCGUAACCGAGAGGUCCGUGGUUCGAUUCCCGGCGAAGGCG
This 72-nucleotide transfer RNA is filed under the name Stegodyphus mimosarum. It matches the Rfam family "tRNA". From Rfam's summary of the family: Transfer RNA (tRNA) molecules are approximately 80 nucleotides in length. Their secondary structure includes four short double-helical elements and three loops (D, anti-codon, and T loops). Lineage: Eukaryota; Metazoa; Arthropoda; Arachnida; Araneae; Eresidae. The record is from Rfam by way of RNAcentral.